Cuculus canorus (common cuckoo) is the source of this 4615-nucleotide long non-coding RNA. RefSeq lists it as uncharacterized. Lineage: Eukaryota; Metazoa; Chordata; Aves; Cuculiformes; Cuculidae. The record is from RefSeq and is a predicted model, not a curated record. The transcript is spliced from 3 exons.
CGCUAUCCCCGGGGCGGCUCCCCCGGAGCAGCAGCGGCGGCUUCGGCAUCGCCCGGUACCGGCGGCGGCGGCGGUGGAGGCGGCGGCAAACGGCGGCUCCCGCUUUUCGCUGUCCCGGAGCAGCCGGGAGCGGCGCGACACCCCCCCGGCUGGGCAUGAAAGGUGCUUUACAGAGAAAGACACCAGCUGAAGGGUUCGAGUCUGUGCCAGAAAAGGAGAAGGAACUGGUGGGAUGGCUCAGAGUGAGGGGUUGCUUGUGGCUGCCGGUUGGUCACAGACUCCUCAAGCCUGCUUGAGUUUGUUCGGGUGAACCUUUACUCGACAUGGAAUGAGCCACUCAAUGCAUGCAGCUGAUAGAGGGGAAGGACCUCAAUGCUCUGCUCUCCAGCAGCGACUGCCUCUGUGGAAAACAGCUGGACACUGCGGCAUUUCCAGGGAAUGGCCUCCGCUGGUGUACAGCACCCACUGGGCUCAGUGUCUUUGCGUCCUGGUCCUCUAGAUGGGGUGAGCAAUGUCCUUUAAGCCUUUCCUUUGACUGGGUCUCUUGCCUGUCCUCCACCUGGCUUGGUUUAUUGACAGCUGUGGUUAAAUGUUGUGUCUGCUCCCUGAUGUCAGGAGCUGAAUCUGCAUGGUCUUCCUAUUAAGAAGGUUUGGGAGAUACAGAAGGUCAGUGGAGGACACGGACACCUCCCGCGGGAUCCAAUUGCUCCAAGCCCCAUCCGACCUGCCCUUGAACACCUCUGGGGAUGGGGCAGCCACCACUGCUCUGGGCAACCUGGGCCAGGGCUUCCCCACCCUCACACUAAAACAUUUCUCCCCAAGAUCUCCUCUCAGUCUCCCCUCUUUCAGCUGAAAACCCUUCCCCCUCAACCUCUCCCUGCCCUCCCUGAUCAAAAGCCCCUCCCCAGCUUUCCUGGAGCCCUUUUCAGUGGUUGAAGCUGCUCUAAGGUCUCCCCACAGCCUUCUCUUCUCCAACUCCAGCUCUCCCAGCCUGUCCUCGUACAGGAAGUGCUCCAGCUCCUGCUAUCAAGGCCAAUCUUAUCCUUAAAGGUAGGAAAAAAGAAAAGUGGGAGUGUUUGGUGGCACUGGGCCUUAAGCUGGAGGCAGAGACACUGUGUGGUGUUUAGCUCAGGGCAUCUGCUCCAGGUUCUUCAUAGCCGAACACUUGAUAACUCCAGGUCUGUUGCUAUUUAUACCAUAUAAAUAACAAUUUAACUUCCAACAACUCUAAACCAGACAUCAGUUCUCCUUGUAAGAUUUGUUCAGUCAGGGGUACCCCAAACCCUGGACCAUUGUGCUGGCUCGUGAUUAUCCUCUCACACACGUAAAUCCAAGGAAAUCAGGAAUUAACAAUUAUAAUACCUAGAAAAUGUGUAAGUGUCAGGGCAGCUUGGCUGGCAUGGAAGCUGGAGAGGGAGAGCUGUGGUGCCUCUGUAGCACUGGGAGUGUCCGCAGAAGGAAUGUGCUGUGUGCUGAGAGGUUCCUUCUCCAGGAACAUGAAAAAGGAGCUGCCAACAGGAGCGCGAGCCAUCCAGACUGAUAAAACCAGGAGAAAGAAGAAAACACCCAGGCGAGAGAGAACAGAUUUCCAGGAUAGGCUGUGCUAACACGGUACAAGCUGUCAGCAGGCGAGCUUGGAGGAGACGGGAUGCCCUCUGUGAGCUGGAGUCCUCAUUGUCUGUGUGGCAGGGGACAAGAAGGGAAGUUGUGUGAACCAAAAAUAGUCUCACAGUUUGGGAAGUGAAACUGUGUUCCUGUGACCUCUCACACUUGUGCUUAUGUGCAGGGCAGCGGGUUGUCUUGCUCUGCCAGCCGAGAGAGAGGGAUCUCGCCUUCCCUCCAGGUGCAAUCCAUCCCUGCAGGCGCAUCCUCCCAUGACCCAUCACCCGCCUUUAAAAUCCUCGCCAUGGGUGCACUCCAGCAGCAUCUGCAGCUGCAGACAUCUGGAUGGGGCUUUCUCAUGAACCUACUUACGCUGCUCUGGGGUCAAGGGAUUGCUCUGGGCUCUGAGGAAUCCCUGCUGCCUCUGCGGGACCUCUGGGCACUGGGCACGGCUGGAUUGCAGUGGGAGAGGCAAGUGCUGGAUCUGCAGGACCUCUGGGCAUGUCUGGAUUGGGAGGAGAGGCGAGUGCUGGCCCAGGGUGGGCAGCUCCCAUCCUUUCCAAGGUAGGGGUCUGGCCUUUACCUCAGUACGUUUAAAUGCUGCUGUGCGAGGCAUUGCUGGCUGGUGGGGAAGGGAGGAGGCAACAGGGACUUUGUGCCUUGGGAACGCUGCCUGCUUGUCAGAGCUCCCAGGAGAAGCUGGGAUUGAGUUUUCAGUGUGCUGGUGGGCACGAGGGCCUUUGUCAUGAUAAUUUUGUGGGGCAUUUAAUGGGCUUAGGCUGAGUCCUGGAAACCCAGGCAGCAGUGGGGUAAUGAAAUGUCGGCUAUCUUUCGGUCUGACUGCAUCCCAUCUCGUAAUAUCUUAAAUGCUUGGAUACCACUGUUAACUUAGCUCAUCCAUCCCUUUCCCUGCCCAGCUGGGUGCCCAGCGUGGUCUGUGCUGGGUGCAUGCUGACCGCAGAGAGCGCGCUGCUCAUGGCUGUCCCUGAGCAGGUUCCCCAGUGCCGUAUGUCUCCAAAGGCUCAUUACCACCAGAGCUGGAGAGCCUCGCCUGCCGCCUUGCCCAGAGGAGACGCUGAGCACCAGCAGAGCUCGUUACCCUUAAUGGGACGAGAGGCGCUGGGGCACUCCGCAGAGCCAGGCCAGCAGGAUGCUGCUUUGUUCAUUCAACUUCUUGUGUCACAGCGGCCGAGCAAGCAUCUGGGCGGUUUCUUUUGGUCUUAUCUGGGAGGUGAGCUGUUGGGGUUUUUGCCCAGUUCCCCAAGAUAUUCUUGGGGAUGUUGGAGUCUGGUCUGGUCCCAGAAUAAAGCAGAUUCUGUGUCGCCCUGGGGCUGAAGGGGUUAAUUUUUGUGCUUCUCUCCCCAGCUCGCUGCGGACUCUGGCUGGGACAGAACAUCUGUCUGUUGCUAUGGCUGCAGUACACUUGAAGGGGAUGACUGGAUAAUUAUUGCAAACAUCCAUCCUGCCUGAUGUGCUCCCGGACCCUCCCUGCCCAAAUGCAGGGGGAGCAGCCACCUUCGAGCACAACUUCAGCCACAGGGAUCCUACCUAGGGAUGGCGGGUUGGCAACACCUUUUCAUUUGCAUAAUUAAUGAGGCCGAGGCUGCAGGGCUCCUGGGAAAUCCGACGCAGAGCAGCAGCAAUGAAAUGGCACAGAGGGCUCCAGCCUUCUCGGUGGCUCGUUAGAGCUCUGCUGGCUGACAAUGCCGCGCUUUGGAGCUUCAGGGGAGUUGUUCUCCCAUUUCCAUUAAUUUACCACCCACUUCCAUCUGAACAGAUUGCUCUGGGCCCGAUCCUGCAGUACCUCCUGCCGGGUGUAGGGCCCAGGUUUGUGUGUGAUGGGCAGGAUGCGGCCGGCGCAGCAAGCGGGCAAGCCCUGGUGCAAAGCCCGUUGCCUUCAGGGCUGUCUGCACCAGCUGAGAGCCUUGGAAGCUGCACAGUCCUGGGUUGUGGCAUGGACCCAGGGCUUCCCUGGCCUCUCACGGCUGGGCAGGCUGCUGCCUGUGUUCCCUGGCUGUGCUGCCGCUGCUUGCUGCUCGGUCCUUGCUGAAUCAAGCUGUGCCUGCUGCUUCAUCCCUGCUGUGCCCGGCACCAUCCUGCGUGUGCAGAUAUGGUGUCAGCACCGUGACCGGCCGGUACAUCCAUGAGGAUGGGCACCACUGGGGAAGGGUGGGAGGCUGCUCCACGGCAUGAGCUACUCGCUGGAGCCUGCUGCGAGCCCUGGCUGGUGGUCCACCCUGGAUCACCCUGCAGCUGCGCCUGCUUUCCCAGUGGCGCCCAUCGAGGGCUGUGGUAUGCCCUAACCUCAUACUUCCAAGCCACUCCGUCCUCUCCUCUGCUCCUAGGAAUCAACCAGUGCCACCAGCACCUGCCCGCAGCACCCACAGCGCCUUUGUUCUUGGUGUUGGGCUGUUCUUUUGCCUAGUGGCAUUAACCCUGCCUUGGGUCAAACCCUGGAGGCGUUAAAAAAUCCAGGUCCUGUCCUGCGUCAUGGGGUUGUCUGUGUUUCAGUGCAUCCCACCUCUGAAUUAGUAGAGAAAAAAAUAGCAGAGGUUCCCCGUCUGACCGGACCCUGCUGUACUCUGCUCAGCGAUGAACCUCAAUGCAUCCAUUGUACAUUUUUUUCUGUUUAUCAGCACGUGGUGGGGUAGGGAGUCUGAGUGGAGCCGGGACCACGAUGAGCACAACGCUCUGCAGCCGCCGGCCAACCAACAGCAUCAGGUCCGGGACGUCUGCUGGUGCCACGCUCCCUCUGCAGAGGUCCAAGUAGGCUGUGCAGGACAGUGCUGCCACUUGCUUUUCCUGUUAUCUCUAACACUGGCAAUAAAUAAGAUUCUCAUAAACACUUCACAUCUGCAGAGCACCCCAUAAGCACCCGCGGGGCAGAGCAUUCCCUGAGGCUGAGGAUGGGUGGCAGGUAGGGAGUGGGGUCGGGACGGUGGGGCUUUCCAUCAGGCAGCGUCACCUCCUUAAACCAGGAAGGGUGGCAUGAAGACAGGAUAACAGUGUUUGA